ACUUACAACGAGAGUAAGUUGU
RNAcentral lists this small nuclear RNA (22 nucleotides) under Arabidopsis thaliana (thale cress). RNAcentral's name for it is "snRNA_03250". The record is from RNAcentral. Lineage: Eukaryota; Viridiplantae; Streptophyta; Magnoliopsida; Brassicales; Brassicaceae.